RNAcentral lists this long non-coding RNA (748 nucleotides) under Ananas comosus (pineapple). Its description in RNAcentral is "long non-coding RNA (ACOM_LNC020889)". Lineage: Eukaryota; Viridiplantae; Streptophyta; Magnoliopsida; Poales; Bromeliaceae. The record is from RNAcentral.
UUGCCUACUUGAGUGCGUCAAAUCCAUUUCUGCAUCCAUUUCGUGCAGAAACGACUCCAACUAGUCCGACACUCUCCAGAUGUGUCGACCAGUCACUAAUACUGUAGCCAAUCCUAUCCAAAACUCUGGAACACUACAAGUAUUUUGUAUUACUGACGGUUGAUAUCUUACAAAUAUACAAAUUACAAAAUUGUAUUACUGACGGUUGAUAUCUUACAAAUUAUACAAAAUUACAAAAUUACCCUCCACACCCCCAAUUACCUCAAAUUUAAAUGUAAAUACAUUUAAAUUUUUAUUUCUCAUUUACUUAAAUAUAUAAGUUUGAAUUCAAAAUUUAAAAUUUUAAUUAAAUUAAAUUUUAAAUUUAAAUUUAAAAUUUUGAUUUAUUUGAAAUUUUGAAUUAAAAAUUUUGAUUUGAAUUAAAAUUUUGAAUUUGAAAAUAAAAUUUGAACUCAAAAAUCUAAUUAAAAAUGAAAUAUGACUUCAUAAUUUGAAUUCAAAUGUAGAAUUUAAAUUUAAAAUUUAAAUUAUUCAAACUAAAUUUUAAUAUAAAAUUUGAAUUAAAAAACUAAAUUUGAACGAUCUAAAAAUUAGAAUAUGAAUAUAAAUAUGAAUUUGAACUUUGAAUUAAAACUUUGAAGAUAAAUUUAAAAUUUUGAAUUUAAAUGUGAAUUUAAAUUAAAUUUUGAAUUUAAAUUCAAAUUUUGAAUUUAAAAUAAAAAUUAUAUUUAAAAUUCAAACUUAAAAU